This 821-nucleotide ribosomal RNA is filed under the name uncultured bacterium. RNAcentral's name for it is "bacterial SSU rRNA". It matches the Rfam family "Bacterial small subunit ribosomal RNA", at positions 60 to 883 of the family's 1533-position model. The record is from RNAcentral.
AGUCGAACGGCAGCGCGGGGUAACCUGGCGGCGAGUGGCGAACGGGUGAGUAAUACAUCGGAACGUGCCCUGUGAUGGGGGAUAACUACGCGAAAGCGUAGCUAAUACCGCAUACGACCUACGGGUGAAAGUGGGGGAUCGCAAGACCUCACGUCAUAGGAGCGGCCGAUGGCGGAUUAGCUAGUUGGUGAGGUAAAGGCUUACCAAGGCAACGAUCCGUAGCUGGUCUGAGAGGACGACCAGCCACACUGGGACUGAGACACGGCCCAGACUCCUACGGGAGGCAGCAGUGGGGAAUCUUGGACAAUGGGGGCAACCCUGAUCCAGCAAUGCCGCGUGCGGGAUGAAGGCCUUCGGGUUGUAAACCACUUUUGGCGGGGGCGAAAUAUCGAGUGCUAAUACCAUUCGGUGAUGACGGUACCCGCAGAAUAAGCACCGGCUAACUACGUGCCAGCAGCCGCGGUAAUACGUAGGGUGCAAGCGUUAAUCGGAAUUACUGGGCGUAAAGCGUGCGCAGGCGGUUAGGUAAGACAGAUGUGAAAUUCCCGGGCUCAACCUGGGAACUGCAUUUGUGACUGCCUGACUAGAGUGCGGCAGAGGGGAGUGGAAUUCCGCGUGUAGCAGUGAAAUGCGUAGAUAUGCGGAGGAACACCGAUGGCGAAUGCAACUCUCUGGGCCUGCACUGACGCUCAUGCGCGAAAGCGUGGGGAGCAAACAGAUUAGAUACUCUGGUAGUCUACGUCCUAAACGAUGUCGACUAGUUGUGGGACGGGUUACUGUUCAGUAACGAGCUACGCGUGAGUCGACCGUCUGGGGAGUAC